GACGAACGCUGGCGGCGUGCUUAACACAUGCAAGUCGAGCGGUAAGGCCCUUUCGGGGGUACACGAGCGGCGAACGGGUGAGUAACACGUGGGUGACCUGCCCUUAGCUCUGGGAUAAGCCUGGGAAACUGGGUCUAAUACCGGAUAUGACUCCAUGACGCAUGUUGUGGGGUGGAAAGCCUUGUGCGGCUAGGGGAUGGGCCCGCGGCCUAUCAGCUUUGUUGGGUGGGGUGANGGCCUACCAAGGCGACGACGGGUAGCCGGCCUGAG
RNAcentral lists this ribosomal RNA (270 nucleotides) under uncultured bacterium. RNAcentral's name for it is "partial 16S ribosomal RNA". It matches the Rfam family "Bacterial small subunit ribosomal RNA", at positions 28 to 296 of the family's 1533-position model. The record is from RNAcentral.